UACGUAGGGAGCAAGCGUUGUCCGGAAUCAUUGGGCGUAAAGCGCGCGUAGGUGGCCAUGUAAGUCCGCUGUGAAAGUCAAAGGCUCAACCUUUGAAAGCCGGUGGAUACUGCAUGGCUAGAGUACGGAAGAGGCGAGUGGAAUUCCUGGUGUAGCGGUGGAAUGCGCAGAUAUCAGGAGGAACACCAAUAGCGAAGGCAGCUCGCUGGGACGUUACUGACACUGAGGCGCGAAAGCCAGGGGAGCGAACGGG
RNAcentral lists this ribosomal RNA (253 nucleotides) under uncultured bacterium. Its description in RNAcentral is "partial 16S ribosomal RNA". It matches the Rfam family "Bacterial small subunit ribosomal RNA", at positions 524 to 776 of the family's 1533-position model. The record is from RNAcentral.